CAUUUGCCAGUGCAGUGUUGUAAAACCAUAUUUUUGAGUUGAUAUGUGUCUAUGUUCCCUGCAGUGAUUUGCCCCUGACUGGUUGUACCCUGCCUUUCCUGAUGAACUUGUGUUUUGUUCCUAUGUGUUUGCUCUCACUGAAUACAGACAACACUAACUCUUACUCCGAAUGCUUUGUUCAGUGGUUACGACCACUUUGUAACUCUAUUUGCAUUAAGUCAUUCAUCUGCAGUUUUCCGUUCUUUUAAUGUUGGUUGACAAAACUCUAAACUGUGACCAGGAUAUUUAUUUUAGAUCCAGAUCGGAAACUGUUUAAUACAAUGGAUCUCAAAUAAAUAUUCUGAUCUUCGGGUUUACUUUUUAUUUUGUAUUUUUUUUUCAAAGAGGUGGAGCAUCACAUCGCUGAUGUUUAAGGUAGACCUCAAGCUUGAAUCUCAUUGCCUUGAACUACUGCCUGACCUAUUAUACUUGUGCUCUUUCCUCUCUCCCACCUCAACCCCACCCCAACUACAUUUCCCAUGAUCCAUCUUGUUCGUGCUUUUGUUUAUUCCCGUUACAUUGUUUUAUUUUAAUAACAUGGUUUCUACCCCCUCUGCCCCUCUUCAUUGUUGCCAUCACUUGUGUUUUGUAGUACAUAGUGUUUGAGGCUGGACAUGAGCCGCUGCGUGGCCCUCAGUCAGAGGAGAGCGUUUAUCAGGUCCCAACCAGUCAGCAGAAGGAAGGGAUCUAUGAUGUCCCAAAGCGGCAUUUCUUCACUAAUAUCAACCACUUUGACCUGUUCGGAGACAUGUCUACUCCUCCCUCGGUAAGUAUCUCUGAGUUACUGCUUCACUGCUUGUACAUUGUGCAACAGCAA
This 856-nucleotide long non-coding RNA is filed under the name Neogobius melanostomus (round goby). RNAcentral's name for it is "lncRNA (ENSNMLG00000015859.1)". Lineage: Eukaryota; Metazoa; Chordata; Actinopteri; Gobiiformes; Gobiidae. The record is from RNAcentral.